This 465-nucleotide ribosomal RNA is filed under the name Spilosomina sp. M5. Its description in RNAcentral is "partial large subunit ribosomal RNA". Lineage: Eukaryota; Metazoa; Arthropoda; Insecta; Lepidoptera; Erebidae. The record is from RNAcentral.
UGCCCACUGAUUAAAAUUAAAGGGCUGCAGUAUAUUGACUGUACAAAGGUAGCAUAAUCAUUAGUCAUUUAAUUGAUGACUUGUAUGAAGGAUUGGAUGAAGUAUAAACUGUCUCUAUUAUAUAUUAAAUGUAAAAUUUAAUUUUUAAAUUAAAAAGUUUAAAUAAAUUAAAAAGACGAGAAGACCCUAUAGAGUUUUAUUUAAUUAUUAAAUUAUAAUUAUUUUUAUAUUAAAAAUUUUUAAUUUAAUAUUAAAUUUUAUUGGGGUGAUAAAAAAAUAUAAAUAACUUUUUUAAUUAAAUAAACAUAAAUAAAUGAUUAAAUGAUCCAAUUUUAUUGAUUAUAAGAAAAAGUUACCUUAGGGAUAACAGCGUAAUUUAUUUUUUUAGUUCAUAUAAAAAAAUGAGUUUGCGACCUCGAUGUUGGAUUAAGAUAAAAAUUAAAUGCAAAAGUUUAAAUUUUUUGA